This 504-nucleotide ribosomal RNA is filed under the name uncultured Tissierellia bacterium. RNAcentral describes it as "bacterial SSU rRNA". It matches the Rfam family "Bacterial small subunit ribosomal RNA", at positions 28 to 524 of the family's 1533-position model. The record is from RNAcentral. Lineage: Bacteria; Bacillati; Bacillota; Tissierellia.
GACGAACGCUGGCGGCGUGCCUAACACAUGCAAGUCGAGCGAGGGACUUAUAACGGAUUACUUCGGUAUGAAGACUUAAGUAGCCUAGCGGCAGACGGGUGAGUAACGCGUGAGAAACCUGCCCCUCACAAAGGAAUAGCCUCGGGAAACCGGGAUUAAUACCUUAUGACACUUAGGAGUCACAUGACUUUUAAGUUAAAGCGUAAAGCGGUGAAGGAUGGUCUCGCGUCCCAUUAGCUAGUUGGUGAGAUAACAGCCCACCAAGGCGACGAUGGGUAGCCGGCCUGAGAGGGUGAACGGCCACACUGGAACUGAGACACGGUCCAGACUCCUACGGGAGGCAGCAGUGGGGAAUCUUGCACAAUGGAGGGAACUCUGAUGCAGCGACGUCGCGUGGGUGAAGACGGUCUUCGGAUUGUAAAGCCCUGUCAGCGGGGAUGAAUUAUUGACAAUACCCGCAGAGGAAGCCACGGCUAACUACGUGCCAGCAGCAGCCGCCGUAAC